GGUUGACCUCGGAUCAGGUAGGAGUUACCCGCUGAACUUAAGCAUAUCAAUAAGCGGAGGAAAAGAAACCAACAGGGAUUGCCUCAGUAACGGCGAGUGAAGCGGCAAGAGCUCAAAUUUGAAAUCUGGCCUCUUUGGGGUCCGAGUUGUAAUUUGCAGAGGAUGCUUCGGGAGUGGUCCCCAUCUAAGUGCCCUGGAACGGGACGUCAUAGAGGGUGAGAAUCCCGUAUGGGAUGGGUGGCCGCGCCCGUGUGAAGCGCCUUCGACGAGUCGAGUUGUUUGGGAAUGCAGCUCUAAGCGGGUGGUAAAUUUCAUCUAAAGCUAAAUACUGGCCGGAGACCGAUAGCGCACAAGUAGAGUGAUCGAAAGAUGAAAAGCACUUUGAAAAGAGAGUUAAAUAGCACGUGAAAUUGUUGAAAGGGAAGCGUUGUCCACCAGACUCGCCCGGGAGGGUUCAGCUGGCACUUGUGCCGGUGUACUCCCUUUCGGGCGGGCCAGCAUCGGUUUGGGCGGCCGCUAAAAGGCCUCGGGAAUGUAGCACCCUCCGGGGUGCCUUAUAGCCCGGGGUGACAUGCGACCUGCCUGGACCGAGGUUCGCGCUUCGGCGAGGAUGCUGGCGUAAUGGUGGUCAACGGCC
This 637-nucleotide ribosomal RNA is filed under the name Talaromyces cecidicola. Its description in RNAcentral is "eukaryotic LSU rRNA". It matches the Rfam family "Eukaryotic large subunit ribosomal RNA", at positions 1 to 649 of the family's 3401-position model. The record is from RNAcentral. Lineage: Eukaryota; Fungi; Ascomycota; Eurotiomycetes; Eurotiales; Trichocomaceae.